Molecule: ribosomal RNA, 229 nt
Filed under: uncultured bacterium
Lineage: Bacteria
Description: partial 16S ribosomal RNA
Rfam family: Bacterial small subunit ribosomal RNA
Source: RNAcentral
UGCGCAGGCGGACUAAUAAGUCAGUGGUGAAAUCUCUCGGCUCAACCGAGAAACUGCCAUUGAAACUGUUAGUCUUGAGUACAGUUGUAGUGGGCGGAAUAUAGCAUGUAGCGGUGAAAUGCUUAGAUAUGCUAUAGAACACCGAUCGCGAAGGCAGCUCACUAAGCUGUAACUGACGCUCAGGCACGAAAGCGUGGGGAGCAAACAGGAUAAGAUACCCUGGUAGUCC